GGGUGCGACCAUACCAGCACCAGUGAACCGGAUCACAACAAAACUCCGCAGUUAAGCAUGCUUGGGCGAGAGUAGUACUGGGAUGGGUGACCUCAUGGGAAGUCCACGUGUUACACCCC
Ribosomal RNA from Dendrobium catenatum, 119 nucleotides. The record is from RefSeq and is a predicted model, not a curated record. Lineage: Eukaryota; Viridiplantae; Streptophyta; Magnoliopsida; Asparagales; Orchidaceae.